Molecule: long non-coding RNA, 455 nt
Organism: Esox lucius (northern pike)
Lineage: Eukaryota; Metazoa; Chordata; Actinopteri; Esociformes; Esocidae
Source: Ensembl
CAGUUAGUUAAUAAGAAUACUUAAAAAAGUAUUUAUCACACCAAUUUAUAUCUGACGUUUGUGGUUUUAGACAUUAAAAUGUAAACAGUAUUCGUGUAGUUGUCAUACAUUGUUAAAUAACAAAAACGUGGAGGACACCACCACCAGCUUUUAACUGACGAAAGCUGACUACAAAGAUCUGCAAAUGGCAGACCCAGAGACACCCCGGUCAGACAAGUCCUCAGGCAAGUCCAAGAGCUCCAGCUCGAAAGUAAGCAAAAUGGGCAACGACCAGAGCACCACCCAAGCUUCUGGGGACACCCAGCCUGAAGACCUGAAAACACAGCCUGGAGAGGAGAGCCAAGAGGGAAUCAGCCUUGGAACGCCUGUGACCAAUGAAGAAGUGGAUACGUAUACCAUAGGCCUGGUAUAAACAUCAUUGUGUUUCCCUGUAGAAGAAGUCCUGUCAACUGGAA